GAUGAAGAACGUAGCGAAAUGCGAUAAGUAAUGUGAAUUGCAGAAUUCAGUGAAUCAUCGAAUCUUUGAACGCACAUUGCGCCCGCCAGUAUUCUGGCGGGCAUGCCUGUUCGAGCGUCAUUUCAACCAUCAAGCCCCCGGCUUGUGUUGGGGACCUGCGGCUGCCGCAGGCCCUGAAAACCAGUGGCGGGCUCGCUAGUCACUCCGAGCGUAGUAAUACAUCUCGCUCAGGGCGUGCUGCGGGUUCCGGCCGUUAAAAGCCUUAUUUACCCAAGGUUGACCUCGGAUCAGGUAGGAAGACCCGCUGAACUUAAGCAUAUCAAUAAGCGGUGGA
Molecule: unclassified non-coding RNA, 334 nt
Filed under: soil metagenome
Description: partial contains 5.8S ribosomal RNA, internal transcribed spacer 2, and large subunit ribosomal RNA
Rfam family: 5.8S ribosomal RNA (bases 1-120)
Source: RNAcentral